RNAcentral lists this transfer RNA (541 nucleotides) under uncultured cyanobacterium. Its description in RNAcentral is "partial miscellaneous RNA". The stretch from base 211 to 283 matches the Rfam family "tRNA". Lineage: Bacteria; Bacillati; Cyanobacteriota. The record is from RNAcentral.
CAGGGAGACAACAAAAUGUUAAAUAUUAAUUUUGUCACCUUAGGUCGAUCGGUAUCUCACAUUCUUAAUUUAUUAAGAAUUUUAUUUCCUAAGUUUUUUCUAGGUCACACCCAUUACUUUUCCUGGGCCAUUAGCUCAGGUGGUUAGAGCGCACCCCUGAUAAGGGUGAGGUCCCUGGUUCAAGUCCAGGAUGGCCCAUAUCUCUAUGUUGGGGGUAUAGCUCAGUUGGUAGAGCGCCUGCUUUGCAAGCAGGAUGUCAGCGGUUCGAGUCCGCUUACCUCCACUGAUUCCCACCUCUUCCAUAACCGGUAGAAAGGAAAUGUUUUGAGUUGUGAUUAUUAUUCUGAACGAAUCUAGCUUCCUAAUAAAAUUAUUAAGAUGCUGGACUCAUUGAAUUAAUUUCAUUGUUUUCAGAGAACCUUGACAACUGCAUAGAUUUUUUUUAAAGACAAUAAGCAUCUUUAAUGAUGCAGAUUUAUUAUUUGCGCGAAUGCAUUAAUAACAAUUCUAUUAAGCUGAUGCUUCAAUUAUUGAAGUUAUU